GUAUCUUUUGGUGCUCGCUUCUACUAAAAUUGGAACGAUACAGAGAAGAUUAGCAUGACCCCUGCGCAAGGAUGACACGCAAAUUUGUGAAGCGUUCCAUGUUUUU
This is a small nuclear RNA of Sciurus carolinensis (gray squirrel), 106 nucleotides long. Lineage: Eukaryota; Metazoa; Chordata; Mammalia; Rodentia; Sciuridae. The record is from RefSeq and is a predicted model, not a curated record.